This 292-nucleotide ribosomal RNA is filed under the name uncultured bacterium. Its description in RNAcentral is "partial 16S ribosomal RNA". It matches the Rfam family "Bacterial small subunit ribosomal RNA", at positions 505 to 796 of the family's 1533-position model. The record is from RNAcentral.
GUGUCAGCCGCCGCGGUAAUACGGAGGAGGCAAGCGUUAUCCGGAAUUAUUGGGCGUAAAGCGUCCGUAGGUGGUUUAUCAAGUCUGCUGUCAAAGGGUGGGGCUUAACCUCAUAAAGGCAGUGGAAACUGAUAGGCUAGAGUGCGAUAGGGGCAAGGGGAAUUCCCAGUGUAGCGGUGAAAUGCGUAGAUAUUGGGAAGAACACCGGUGGCGAAAGCGCCUUGCUGGGUCUGCACUGACACUGAGGGACGAAAGCUAGGGGAGCGAAAGGGAUUAGAAACCCGGGUAGUCC